GAUGAACGCUGGCGGCGUGCCUAAUACAUGCAAGUCGAGCGAACGGACGAGAAGCUUGCUUCUCUGAUGUUAGCGGCGGACGGGUGAGUAACACGUGGAUAACCUACCUAUAAGACUGGGAUAACUUCGGGAAACCGGAGCUAAUACCGGAUAAUAUUUUGAACCGCAUGGUUCAAAAGUGAAAGACGGUCUUGCUGUCACUUAUAGAUGGAUCCGCGCUGCAUUAGCUAGUUGGUAAGGUAACGGCUUACCAAGGCAACGAUGCAUAGCCGACCUGAGAGGGUGAUCGGCCACACUGGAACUGAGACACGGUCCAGACUCCUACGGGAGGCAGCAGUAGGGAAUCUUCCGCAAUGGGCGAAAGCCUGACGGAGCAACGCCGCGUGAGUGAUGAAGGUCUUCGGAUCGUAAAACUCUGUUAUUAGGGAAGAACAUAUGUGUAAGUAAAUGUGCACAUCUUGACGGUACCUAAUCAGAAAGCCACGGCUAACUACGUG
This 497-nucleotide ribosomal RNA is filed under the name uncultured bacterium. Its description in RNAcentral is "partial 16S ribosomal RNA". It matches the Rfam family "Bacterial small subunit ribosomal RNA", at positions 28 to 507 of the family's 1533-position model. The record is from RNAcentral.